CAACUCUCAACAACGGAUAUCUUGGCUCUCAGAUCGAUGAAGAACGCAGCGAAAUGCGAUACAUAGUGUGAAUUGCAGAAAUACGUGAAUCAUCGAAUUUUUGAACGCAAAUUGCGCUCGAGGCUUCGGCCAAGAGCAUGUCUGCCUCAGCGUCGGGUU
RNAcentral lists this ribosomal RNA (159 nucleotides) under Eudorina elegans. RNAcentral describes it as "5.8S ribosomal RNA". It matches the Rfam family "5.8S ribosomal RNA". From Rfam's summary of the family: 5.8S ribosomal RNA (5.8S rRNA) is a component of the large subunit of the eukaryotic ribosome. It is transcribed by RNA polymerase I as part of the 45S precursor that also contains 18S and 28S rRNA. Functionally, it is thought that 5.8S rRNA may be involved in ribosome translocation. Lineage: Eukaryota; Viridiplantae; Chlorophyta; Chlorophyceae; Chlamydomonadales; Volvocaceae. The record is from RNAcentral.